GAUGAACGCUGGCGGCGUGCCUAAUACAUGCAAGUCGAGCGAACGGACGAGAAGCUUGCUUUUCUGAUGUUAGCGGCGGACGGGUGAGUAACACGUGGAUAACCUACCUAUAAGACUGGGAUAACUUCGGGAAACCGGAGCUAAUACCGGAUAAUAUUUUGAACCGCACGGUUCAAAAGUGAGAGACGGUCUUGCUGUCACUUAUAGAUGGAUCCGCGCUGCAUUAGCUAGUUGGUAAGGUAACGGCUUACCAAGGCAACGAUGCAUAGCCGACCUGAGAGGGUGAUCGGCCACACUGGAACUGAGACACGGUCCAGACUCCUACGGGAGGCAGCAGUAGGGAAUCUUCCGCAAUGGGCGAAAGCCUGACGGAGCAACGCCGCGUGAGUGAUGAAGGUCUUCGGAUCGUAAAACUCUGUUAUUAGGGAAGAACAUAUGUGUAAGUAACUGUGCACAUCUUGACGGUACCUAAUCAGAAAGCCACGGCUAACUACGUG
Molecule: ribosomal RNA, 497 nt
Filed under: uncultured bacterium
Lineage: Bacteria
Description: partial 16S ribosomal RNA
Rfam family: Bacterial small subunit ribosomal RNA
Source: RNAcentral